CGGCGAGUGAAGCGGCAACAGCUCAAAUUUGAAAUCUGGCUCUCGGGCCCGAGUUGUAAUUUGUAGAGGAUACUUUUGAUGCGGUGCCUUCCGAGUUCCCUGGAACGGGACGCCAUAGAGGGUGAGAGCCCCGUCUGGUUGGAUGCCAAAUCUCUGUAAAGUUCCUUCAACGAGUCGAGUAGUUUGGGAAUGCUGCUCUAAAUGGGAGGUAUAUGUCUUCUAAAGCUAAAUACCGGCCAGAGACCGAUAGCGCACAAGUAGAGUGAUCGAAAGAUGAAAAGCACUUUGAAAAGAGAGUUAAAAAGUACGUGAAAUUGUUGAAAGGGAAGCGUUUAUGACCAGACUUGGGCUUGGUUAAUCAUCUGGGGUUCUCCCCAGUGCACUUUUCCAGUCCAGGCCAGCAUCAGUUUUCCCCGGGGGAUAAAGGCGGCGGGAAUGUGGCUCUCUUCGGGGAGUGUUAUAGCCCACCGUGUAAUACCCUGGGGGGGACUGAGGUUCGCGCAUCUGCAAGGGAUGCUGGCGUAAUGGUCAUCAACGACCCCGUCUUUGAAACACGGACCAAGGAGUCGUCUUCGUAUGCGAGUGUUCGGGUGUCAAACCCCUACGCGUAAUGAAAGUGAACGCAGGUGGAGAGCUUCGGCGCAUCAUCGACCGAUCCUGAUGUUCUCGGAUGGAUUUGAGUAAGAGCAUACGGGGGCCGGACCCG
Molecule: ribosomal RNA, 706 nt
Filed under: Fusarium oxysporum
Lineage: Eukaryota; Fungi; Ascomycota; Sordariomycetes; Hypocreales; Nectriaceae
Description: partial large subunit ribosomal RNA
Rfam family: Eukaryotic large subunit ribosomal RNA
Source: RNAcentral